This 425-nucleotide ribosomal RNA is filed under the name uncultured bacterium. Its description in RNAcentral is "partial 16S ribosomal RNA". It matches the Rfam family "Bacterial small subunit ribosomal RNA", at positions 354 to 796 of the family's 1533-position model. The record is from RNAcentral.
GUGGGGAAUCUUGCGCAAUGGGCGAAAGCCUGACGCAGCCAUGCCGCGUGGAUGAUGAAGGUCUUAGGAUUGUAAAAUCCUUUCACCGGUGAAGAUAAUGACUGUAGCCGGAGAAGAAGCCCCGGCUAACUUCGUGCCAGCAGCCGCGGUAAUGCGAAGGGGGCUAGCGUUGCUCGGAUUUACUGGGCGUAAAGGGCGCGUAGGCGGACAUUUAAGUCAGGGGUAAAAUCCCGGGGCUCAACCUCGGAACUGCCUUUGAUACUGGGUGUCUUGAGUAUGAGAGAGGUGUGUGGAACUCCGAGUGUAGAGGUGAAAUUCGUAGAUAUUCGGAAGAACACCAGUGGCGAAGGCGACACACUGGCUCAUUACUGACGCUGAGGCGCGAAAGCGUGGGGAGCAAACAGGAUUAGAAACCCUUGUAGUCC